RNAcentral lists this transfer RNA (58 nucleotides) under Dipodomys ordii (Ord's kangaroo rat). It matches the Rfam family "tRNA", at positions 8 to 63 of the family's 71-position model. Rfam says of the family: Transfer RNA (tRNA) molecules are approximately 80 nucleotides in length. Their secondary structure includes four short double-helical elements and three loops (D, anti-codon, and T loops). The record is from Rfam by way of RNAcentral. Lineage: Eukaryota; Metazoa; Chordata; Mammalia; Rodentia; Heteromyidae.
UGGCUCAAUGGUAGAGCACUUGCCUUGCAUGCAUGAAGCCCUGGGUUCGAUUCCUCAG